RNAcentral lists this ribosomal RNA (478 nucleotides) under uncultured bacterium. RNAcentral's name for it is "partial 16S ribosomal RNA". It matches the Rfam family "Bacterial small subunit ribosomal RNA", at positions 28 to 523 of the family's 1533-position model. The record is from RNAcentral.
GAUGAACGCUGGCGGCGUGCUUAACACAUGCAAGUCGAACGGUAAGGCCCUUCGGGGUACACGAGUGGCGAACGGGUGAGUAACACGUGGGUGAUCUGCCCUGCACUUCGGGAUAAGCCUGGGAAACUGGGUCUAAUACCGGAUAGGACCACUGCCUGCAUGGGUGGUGGUGGAAAGCUUUUGCGGUGUGGGAUGGGCCCGCGGCCUAUCGGCAUGUUGGUGGUGUGAUGGCCUACCAAGGCGACGACGGGUAGCCGGCCUGAGAGGGUGACCGGCCACACUGGGACUGAGAUACUGCCCAGACUCCUACGGGAGGCAGCAGUGGGGAAUAUUGCACAAUGGGCGCAAGCCUGAUGCAGCGACGCCGCGUGAGGGAUGACGGCCUUCGGGUUGUAAACCUCUUUCAGCACCGACGAAGCGCAAGUGACGGUAGGUGCAGAAGAAGGACCGGCCAACUACGUGCCAGCAGCCGCCGUAA